GCAGCCAUGCCGCGUGUAUGAAGAAGGCCUUCGGGUUGUAAAGUACUUUCAGCAGUGAGGAAGGGGGUGUCGUUAAUAGCGGCAUUUCUUGACGUUAGCUGCAGAAGAAGCACCGGCUAACUCCGUGCCAGCAGCCGCGGUAAUACGGAGGGUGCGAGCGUUAAUCGGAAUUACUGGGCGUAAAGCGCAUGCAGGUGGUUUGUUAAGUCAGAUGUGAAAGCCCGGGGCUCAACCUCGGAACUGCAUUUGAAACUGGCAAACUAGAGUACUGUAGAGGGGGGUAGAAUUUCAGGUGUAGCGGUGAAAUGCGUAGAGAUCUGAAGGAAUACCAGUGGCGAAGGCGGCCCCCUGGACAGAUACUGACACUCAGAUGCGAAAGCGUGGGGAGCAAACAGGAUUAGAUACCCUGGUAGUCCACGCCGUAAACGAUGUCUACUUGGAGGUUGUGGCCUUGAGCCGUGGCUUUCGGAGCUAACGCGUUAAGUAGACCGCCUGGGGAGUACGGUCGCAAGAUUAAAACUCAAAUGAAUUGACGGGGGCCCGCACAAGCGGUGGAGCAUGUGGUUUAAUUCGAUGCAACGCGAAGAACCUUACCUACUCUUGACAUCCAGAGAACUUUCAGAGA
This 625-nucleotide ribosomal RNA is filed under the name Vibrio sp. RNAcentral describes it as "bacterial SSU rRNA". It matches the Rfam family "Bacterial small subunit ribosomal RNA", at positions 388 to 1006 of the family's 1533-position model. Lineage: Bacteria; Pseudomonadati; Pseudomonadota; Gammaproteobacteria; Vibrionales; Vibrionaceae. The record is from RNAcentral.